This 250-nucleotide ribosomal RNA is filed under the name uncultured bacterium. RNAcentral's name for it is "partial 16S ribosomal RNA". It matches the Rfam family "Bacterial small subunit ribosomal RNA", at positions 524 to 773 of the family's 1533-position model. The record is from RNAcentral.
UACAGAGGGUGCAAGCGUUGUUCGGAAUUACUGGGCGUAAAGCGCGUGUAGGUGGCGACGUAAGUCGGGUGUGAAAUCCCUUGGCUUAACCAAGGAAGUGCACUCGAUACUGUGUUGCUUGAGUACUGGAGGGGAUGGCGGAAUUCCCGGUGUAGAGGUGAAAUUCGUAGAUAUCGGGAGGAACACCUGUGGCGAAGGCGGCCAUCUGGACAGUCACUGACACUGAGACGCGAAAGCGUGGGUAGCAAAC